UCAAACGUAGGGUACAAGCAUUACCCGGUUUUAUUGGGCGUAAAGAGUCUGUAGGCGGUCAUUCAAGUUGAGAGUUAAAUACUUCGGCCUAACCGAAGGGAGGCUUUCAAUACUGUUUGGCUAAGAGGCAGCUAGGGGGUAACGGAACGUAUGGUGUAGCGGUGAAAUGCGUUGAUAUCAUACGGAACAUCUAGGGGGAAGCCAGUUACCUGGGGCUGACCUGACGCUGAGAGACGAAAGCGUGGGUAGCAAAACGGAUUAGAUACCCGUGUAGUCCACGCCCUAAACGAUGCCUGCUAGAUGCUUGCCACUUUGUGGUGAGUGUCGAAGCUAACGCGUUAAGCAGGCCGCCUGGGGAGUACGAUCGCAAGGUUA
RNAcentral lists this ribosomal RNA (375 nucleotides) under uncultured bacterium. RNAcentral's name for it is "bacterial SSU rRNA". It matches the Rfam family "Bacterial small subunit ribosomal RNA", at positions 521 to 896 of the family's 1533-position model. The record is from RNAcentral.